RNAcentral lists this ribosomal RNA (415 nucleotides) under uncultured bacterium. RNAcentral's name for it is "bacterial SSU rRNA". It matches the Rfam family "Bacterial small subunit ribosomal RNA", at positions 355 to 787 of the family's 1533-position model. The record is from RNAcentral.
UGGGGAAUCUUAGACAAUGGGGGAAACCCUGAUCUAGCCAUGCCGCGUGAGUGAUGAAGGCCUUAGGGUUGUAAAGCUCUUUCAGUGGGGAAGAUAAUGACGGUACCCACAGAAGAAGCCCCGGCUAACUUCGUGCCAGCAGCCGCGGUAAUACGAAGGGGGCUAGCGUUGUUCGGAUUUACUGGGCGUAAAGCGCACGUAGGCGGACUUUUAAGUCAGGGGUGAAAUCCCGGGGCUCAACCCUGGAACUGCCUUUAAUACUGCCGGUCUUGAGUUCGAGAGAGGUGAGUGGAAUUCCGAGUGUAGAGGUGAAAUUCGUAGAUAUUCGGAGGAACACCAGUGGCGAAGGCGGCUCACUGGCUCGAUACUGACGCUGAGGUGCGAAAGCGUGGGGAGCAAACAGGAUUAGAUACCC